AUGGCGACGACGCUGAAGGGCAUGUGGGGGCAAGUGAUGGGCAAGAAGGGAGAGGCGGUGCGGGAGCUGGAGGUCUCCAUCCGGGCGAAGGGCAACGUGACCCAGAUGGAGGACGCGCUGCUCCGGGCCUGCAUGCUGUUCUCGAACCUGAGCUACACCGCGACCUCCGCGGUGGUCAGUCUCGUUGGAGCGUUCGCUUCUGGCCAAGUACAUAAAAUUGUUGGGGGUCAACCUAUGCCUCGACUAUUCAGGCUUGGUUUGUCUGCUGGUGUUGGUUUGACUGCAGGGAAGAUGAUGUAUUAUGAAUCGUUGCAUGCAACUAGCCUAUACAUAUUGGGCCGUGGAGAGGAGCCCUUUGAGCGCUUGAAAAUGGAGCUCGCUAAUAUAAUACUUACUAAGCAUAGUGAUGAAAAGUUAUCGGUUGAAGCUGUAAAAAAGCAUUUCUUUGCCGAGAAUCUCUACACUGAUCAAUACCAGGAUAAAUUACUUUUCCGGUGGCGCCAACGUUACUCGUAUGUUGACAGCACCUAUCUGGAAAGGGUGAAGGAGAUUGAAGCAAACAACUCAGUGGAUAAGGACAAAACAAUGUCUGCCCAGACAACGGGAUCAUUUGGGAACCUCAUGGAGGACCCACUGGCCUGUAUACUGGGUUCUCCAGACAGCGACAUGGAGAAUGAUAAACCGCCUGAGCGCACAGCUACUAUCCUCAGGAAAAGAGACCUGCGAGCUCGGAGGAGAAGUCAGCGGCAUCAUCGUCGGCAUGCGGCAUUGUGA
RNAcentral lists this ribosomal RNA (774 nucleotides) under Triticum aestivum (bread wheat). Its description in RNAcentral is "partial small subunit ribosomal RNA". Lineage: Eukaryota; Viridiplantae; Streptophyta; Magnoliopsida; Poales; Poaceae. The record is from RNAcentral.